UACGAAGGGGGCUAGCGUUGUUCGGAAUCACUGGGCGUAAAGCGCACGCAGGCGGAUUGAUAAGUCAGGGGUGAAAUCCCGGGGCUCAACCUCGGAAUUGCCUUUGAUACUGCAAAUCUCGAGUCCGAUAGAGGUGGGUGGAAUUCCUAGUGUAGAGGUGAAAUUCGUAGAUAUUAGGAAGAACACCGGUGGCGAAGGCGGCCCACUGGAUCGGUACUGACGCUGAGGUGCGAAAGCGUGGGGAGCAAACAGG
RNAcentral lists this ribosomal RNA (253 nucleotides) under uncultured bacterium. RNAcentral's name for it is "partial 16S ribosomal RNA". It matches the Rfam family "Bacterial small subunit ribosomal RNA", at positions 524 to 776 of the family's 1533-position model. The record is from RNAcentral.